GGAGCCGUCGUUCAAUGGUAGGACACGACUCUUAUAAAGUCGACACGGGGGUUCGAUUCCCUCCGGCUCCA
Molecule: non-coding RNA, 71 nt
Organism: Candidatus Woesebacteria bacterium
Lineage: Bacteria; Candidatus Woeseibacteriota
Source: Rfam